RNAcentral lists this ribosomal RNA (625 nucleotides) under uncultured archaeon. Its description in RNAcentral is "bacterial SSU rRNA". It matches the Rfam family "Archaeal small subunit ribosomal RNA", at positions 147 to 776 of the family's 1478-position model. The record is from RNAcentral.
UAAUACCCUAUAGGUUACAGAUGCUGGAAUGCUCUGUAAUCAAAAGUUCCGGCGCCCUAGGAUGGAUCUGCGGCCGAUUAGGUUGUUGUUGGGGUAAUGGCCCAACAAGCCAGUAAUCGGUACGGGUUGUGGGAGCAAGAGCCCGGAGUUGGAUUCUGAGACACGAAUCCAGGCCCUACGGGGCGCAGCAGGCGCGAAAACUUUACAAUGCGGGCAACCGUGAUAAGGGAACCUCGAGUGCCUGUAAAUGCAGGCUGUUCAGAUGCCUAAAACACAUCUGGAGAAAGGGCCGGGCAAGACCGGUGCCAGCCGCCGCGGUAAUACCGGCGGCUCGAGUGGUGGCCACUUUUAUUGGGCUUAAAGCGUUCGUAGCUGGGUUGUUAAGUCUCUUGGGAAAUCUGGCGGCUUAACCGUCAGGCGUCUAAGGGAUACUGGCAAUCUUGGAACCGGGAGAGGUGAGGGGUACUUCGGGGGUAGGAGUGAAAUCCUGUAAUCCUCGAGGGACCACCUGUGGCGAAGGCGCCUCACCAAAAACGGCUUCGACAGUGAGGGACGAAAGCUGGGGGAGCAAACCGGAUUAGAUACCCGGGUAGUCCCAGCCGUAAACUAUGCGCGUUAGGUGUAU